AAAAGACUUAGUCCUAACCUUACUGUUGGUUGUUGCUAGGUAUAUACAUGCAAGUAUCCGCGCCCCAGUGUAGAUGCCCUCAGUACCUCUCACCCAGGUCGGUAGGAGCGGGUAUCAGGCUCACACCUCCCCCAUCGUAGCCCAAAACGCCUAGCGUUUGCCACACCCCCACGGGUAUUCAGCAGUAGUUAAUAUUAAGCAAUGAGUGAAAACUUGACUUAGCCAUAGCAAAACAGGGUUGGUAAAUCUUGUGCCAGCCACCGCGGUCAUACAAGAAACCCAAAUCAACUUUACCUUUAAAACGGCGUAAAGAGUGGUAACAUGCUAUCAAAGUACCUAAGAUUAAAAUGCAACUGAGCUGUCGCAAGCCCAAGAUGCCCAUAAGGCCACCGCUUAAAGAAGAUCUUAGACCAACGAUUAAUUGAAAUCCACGAAAGCCAGGGCCCAAACUGGGAUUAGAUACCCCACUAUGCCUGGCCCUAAAUAUUGAUGCUUUACCUUACCUGAGCAUCCGCCCGAGAACUACGAGCGCAAACGCUUAAAACUCUAAGGACUUGGCGGUGCCUCAAAUCCACCUAGAGGAGCCUGUUCUGUAAUCGAUGAUCCACGAUAUACCCGACCAUUCCUUGCAAAACAGCCUAUAUACCGCCGUCGCCAGCUUACCCUGCUUGAAGGCCCAACAGUGAGCGCAAUAGUACUUACCACACUAAAAAGACAGGUCAAGGUAUAGCCUAUGGAAUGGAAGCAAUGGGCUACAUUUUCUAGUAUAGAAAACUACGGCAAAGGGGCAUGAAACUGCCCCUGGAAGGAGGAUUUAGCAGUAAAGUGGGAUAAUCGAGCCCUCUUUAAGCCGGCCCUGGGGCACGUACACACCGCCCGUCACCCUCCUCAAAGGCGACCCCCCCCCCAAUAACUAAUAAGCUAUCCAGCCAAAGAGGAGGUAAGUCGUAACAAGGUAAGUGUACCGGAAGGUGUACUUAGACUACC
Molecule: non-coding RNA, 987 nt
Filed under: Nesoptilotis leucotis (White-eared honeyeater)
Lineage: Eukaryota; Metazoa; Chordata; Aves; Passeriformes; Meliphagidae
Description: 12S ribosomal RNA
Rfam family: Bacterial small subunit ribosomal RNA
Source: RNAcentral